AGAGACAGCAGUCGCCACGGUAAUACGAAGGGUGCAAGCGUUACUCGGAAUUACUGGGCGUAAAGCGUGCGUAGGUGGUGGUUUAAGUCCGUUGUGAAAGCCCUGGGCUCAACCUGGGAAUUGCAGUGGAUACUGGGUCACUAGAGUGUGGUAGAGGAUAGUGGAAUUUCCGGUGUAGCAGUGAAAUGCGUAGAGAUCGGAAGGAACAUCUGUGGCGAAGGCGACUAUCUGGGCCAACACUGACACUGAGGCACGAAAGCGUGGGGAGCAAACAGGAUUAGAUACCCCGGUAGUCCCUGUCUCUUAUAC
RNAcentral lists this ribosomal RNA (309 nucleotides) under uncultured bacterium. RNAcentral's name for it is "partial 16S ribosomal RNA". It matches the Rfam family "Bacterial small subunit ribosomal RNA", at positions 504 to 807 of the family's 1533-position model. The record is from RNAcentral.